GCGUCCAUAGCUCAGUAGGAUAGAGCAGCAGCCUUCUAAGCUGCGGGUCAGAGGUUCGAAUCCUCUUGGACGCG
This 74-nucleotide transfer RNA is filed under the name Spirochaetaceae bacterium. Its description in RNAcentral is "tRNA-Arg". It matches the Rfam family "tRNA". Rfam says of the family: Transfer RNA (tRNA) molecules are approximately 80 nucleotides in length. Their secondary structure includes four short double-helical elements and three loops (D, anti-codon, and T loops). The record is from RNAcentral. Lineage: Bacteria; Pseudomonadati; Spirochaetota; Spirochaetia; Spirochaetales; Spirochaetaceae.